Molecule: long non-coding RNA, 323 nt
Filed under: Elaeis guineensis (African oil palm)
Lineage: Eukaryota; Viridiplantae; Streptophyta; Magnoliopsida; Arecales; Arecaceae
Description: long non-coding RNA (EGUI_LNC047335)
Source: RNAcentral
AGACUCUUGAGCUGAUCUAAUUUGAUUAGAUUAGGGUUACAUCAAGAGUCUGUGUCUACUACUGGUUAAAUUUAGAAUCCAAUGGAUCACACACUUUAAAAUUUAAUCUUGAUCUAAUUUAAUUAGAUUAUAAUUAAAUUUUAGGGGUUAAUUUGAUAUGCUAGCACAUUGUGUUAACCUAAGUUCCUAAAUAGAUUCAGUUCAAAAUAUUUGAGCUAAACUAAACCAGUUGCCUUUGACCUAAUGGAAUUGAAUCUAAUUUAAUUUGAUUCUCAUCCAACAUGGAAGUAUUUCAAGUAUGGAAGGAGUCCUCUACGCCCACC